This 377-nucleotide ribosomal RNA is filed under the name uncultured bacterium. Its description in RNAcentral is "bacterial SSU rRNA". It matches the Rfam family "Bacterial small subunit ribosomal RNA", at positions 523 to 898 of the family's 1533-position model. The record is from RNAcentral.
AUACGUAGGGGGCAAGCGUUAUCCGGAUUUACUGGGUGUAAAGGGAGCGUAGGUGGUUCGGCAAGUCAGAUGUGAAAGCCCGGGGCUCAACCCCGGGACUGCAUUUGAAACUGCCGUACUAGAGUGCAGGAGAGGUAAGUGGAAUUCCUAGUGUAGCGGUGAAAUGCGUAGAUAUUAGGAGGAACACCAGUGGCGAAGGCGGCUUACUGGACUGUAACUGACACUGAGGCUCGAAAGCGUGGGGAGCAAACAGGAUUAGAUACCCUGGUAGUCCACGCGGUAAACGAUGAAUACUAGGUGUCGGGGGUCAAAAGACCUCCGGUGCCGGCGCAAACGCAUUAAGUAUUCCACCUGGGGAGUACGUUCGCAAGAAUGAA